UAAGACCGGCGCACGGGUGCGUAACGCGUAUACAAUCUGCCUUUUAUCCGGGGGAUAGCCCGAAGAAAUUUGGAUUAAUACCCUAUGGUAUAAGAGCACGGCAUCGUGCACUUAUUAAAGCUACGGCGGUAAAAGAUGAGUAUGCGUUCUAUUAGCUAGUUGGAGAGGUAACGGCUCCCCAAGGCGACGAUAGAUAGGGGUUCUGAGAGGGAUGUCCCCCACACUGGUACUGAGAUACGGACCAGACUCC
RNAcentral lists this ribosomal RNA (250 nucleotides) under uncultured Capnocytophaga sp. Its description in RNAcentral is "partial 16S ribosomal RNA". It matches the Rfam family "Bacterial small subunit ribosomal RNA", at positions 90 to 339 of the family's 1533-position model. The record is from RNAcentral. Lineage: Bacteria; Pseudomonadati; Bacteroidota; Flavobacteriia; Flavobacteriales; Flavobacteriaceae.